AUUCAAAAUCUUUCUGUGAUUUGGAUCCAUUCUAUCCCUUGCGUCCGUAACCAGGUUCUCACUUUCCUUUUGUUUUUCUCUACUCUCUGAGAGGCCAAAUCGCAGGCUAAGGAGAGAAGAAAGAGAGAUGGGUGGGCUGACGAGCGCGGUGAUAGCCAUAGCAGGAGUUGUGCUGGGUUGGAUCACAAUAGAGAUCGCCUGCAAACCCUGCCUCGAACAAGGUCGCCAAGCUAUUGACCGCUCUCUCAAUCCCGAUUACGACCCGGACGAUGACCAAAAUGUCGACAUUCGAGCCCCUCUCAAUCCCAGCUCUUCACUUCCUCAAGAUUCCGAUCCUAAUGCCCACACUGCUUCUUCCGCUCCCAAAGUUAUCACCAUCUCCUGAUCACCUUUUUCUCUCUUUCGCCUUAGAAUUAGGGGAGCUACUGGGGACUGAAGUUGAGAGGAAGAAAGCGGGCGAUUCAGCAGAUAUAGUGCAGAACUGGGCACAGCCUUUAAUGUGGGAAAGCUGAUGAAGGAUUAACUAAUCCAUGAAAAGCAUAACAGAGUGCUUUGAGCAAUCUUAUUUACAAUCUAAAAAAACCGAGUAUGAAUUCUAUAAGAAAUUCUUAGAUGUGAUUAUACUUGAGAUGGACAAAUAAGUGUUGUUCUUUAGCAUUACUCUUUUGCUUCUACAGCAUAUCUAACAUGGAUUUUCCUUGGGUGGAACCACACUGUUGGAUUCAUAUUUGUAUCCUAGCUGGGAUAACCCAUUCCAUGAUA
Vitis riparia (riverbank grape) is the source of this 762-nucleotide RNA transcript. It is a transcript of the gene named outer envelope membrane protein 7, with no coding region annotated. The record is from RefSeq and is a predicted model, not a curated record. NCBI's taxonomy places the organism in Eukaryota, Viridiplantae, Streptophyta, Magnoliopsida, Vitales, Vitaceae. The transcript has 3 exons.